Molecule: unclassified non-coding RNA, 343 nt
Filed under: soil metagenome
Description: partial contains 5.8S ribosomal RNA, internal transcribed spacer 2, and large subunit ribosomal RNA
Rfam family: 5.8S ribosomal RNA (bases 1-120)
Source: RNAcentral
GAUGAAGAACGUAGCGAAAUGCGAUAAGUAAUGUGAAUUGCAGAAUCCAGUGAAUCACCGAAUCUUUGAACGCACAUUGCGCCCGCCAGCAUUCUGGCGGGCAUGCCUGUUCGAGCGUCAUUUCAACCCUCGACCUCCCCUUGGGGAGGUCGGCGUUGGGGACCGGCAGCACACCGCCGGCCCUGAAAUGGAGUGGCGGCCCGUCUGCGGCGACCUCUGCGUAGUAAUACAGCUCGCACCGGAACCCCGACGCGGCCACGCCGUAAAACACCCAACUUCUGAACGUUGACCUCGAAUCAGGUAGGACUACCCGCUGAACUUAAGCAUAUCAAUAAGCGGAGGA